UGAGCAAAUGUUAUAUCAAUGAACCAUUAUUCAUAAAACAUGAAUAAAUGUGGGCCGUCAAGGCCUCUAACAUACUAUACAAAAUGAACCUCCGUCUACAAAGCCUCUAAGAUUAUUCGACAUUAAAUGGGACAGGGUACCGGCCCACCCAUAAGUCUGUAGCAAAACUCUAACACGAUGACUCAUAGACUCGGCUGCACUCCGAAUAAGGUGGAGUCUUACCGAUCCUUCGUUGAAUGUUAACCUCGUCUACUAUAAGAGCUCGUCAAGUCGAUUACUUAUACUUGUAGGAAUGAAUGCAGCAUCCACAACAAAAGUACGUCAGUAAGAAUAAUGUACAAAGUAUGUAAGGCAUGUAAAUCAAUAUAUAAAGGAUAUGAAAGAACAUGGAGUACAUGAUUUAUCCGAUAAGUCUAGAUAACUUUGUAUAUCAUUUAAUACUUAUAGUGUCAUGCAUAUGUGUAUGAAUGUCGUGUCGUGCUUGUACNNNNNNNNNNNNNNNNNNNNNNNNNUAUAUAUAUAUAUAUAUAUAAUAUACAUAUAUACACGUAUAUAUCGCCAUCUAGUCACGGAUCAAUAUAAAUGAAUGCAAUGAAUGAGAUGUAUGUCAAUAAAAUCUAUCAGAAUAUCAUAAGACUAUUAUGCCUUUGAUUAAUAUCAUAAAGUAAACUUUUUCAACUUACGUAUUUUUCUGAGACCCAUGAACAGAUGAUAAAAUAAUAUGACAUAUGGGGAAUCAAGAACAUAAACAUCUUUAAUAUUUCUAUGAAUAGAGUCAUUUAUGGAAGUUGUACAUUUUCUCGUUUCGUUCAUGUCGUAUAAAUCAUGCCAAAAGAAAGAAGGGAUAGCCUUAACAUACCCGAACCGAUUCUCUUGACAAUCUCUCUAACGCACGUCAAUUGCGAUAAAAUAUGGAACAAGUCGUGUGAAAAGCUCAACGCAAUCACUUUUCUCAAAGAAAAUCUUGGCCGGAACCUUUCCAUCCCCAAAAUGAUGUUACUUAUGUGAUUCGAAUAAGAAACUCAUCAUGCAGUUGUUUUUGAUAUAUGUACAGAUGCAAGAGGUCUAUAUUCUUUCAUUCAAGUGUCCACCAAUUUCUUCUAUUAUUCUUAAUCUGACAAAUCUCACACUUCAAUGGAACUCUCCAAAUCACUUCAUCAUAAAAUUCUCCAAGUUCCUUGGCUCUUUUAUCACGGAUGGAUUCAGCAGAGAUACUCAGAGCAAGUUGUAUAACCAAUCUAAUCAAUCUUCCUUGGGUAAUAGUAUAAAAUCUAUAGAACAAUCAAGAAUUUUUUUUCUUUUCGAAGCAAUAAAUAAUUAUCAAAUAUAGAGCCUUUGUAUAUCAUGAGAAACUCAAAGUCGCAAUGAUUUUUUUUGAUAGAUUGAAACUGCACAUUUUAAUAUGCCAAACACUAUCCCUACAAAUGUUAUAAUGCAAGUUAAAAAAAAUUGUGAAGUACUGAUUUCUUAUAAAAACCUCACGUUGCCAUUCAAGUUCACAAGAUGUUUCUCUUUGACUUUGAGAUGUCUCUUUAAAUUUUGAGAAGUCACUUUUGAAAGAUAGC
RNAcentral lists this long non-coding RNA (1565 nucleotides) under Nicotiana tabacum (common tobacco). RNAcentral describes it as "long non-coding RNA (NTAB_LNC008028)". The record is from RNAcentral. Lineage: Eukaryota; Viridiplantae; Streptophyta; Magnoliopsida; Solanales; Solanaceae.